UCCGAUAUGGUGUAGUGGCUAACAUUAUCGCCUCUCAUUACAGGGAAAGCGCGAUAGCCCGGGGUUCGAUUCCCCGUGUCGGAA
Molecule: transfer RNA, 84 nt
Rfam family: tRNA
About the family: Transfer RNA (tRNA) molecules are approximately 80 nucleotides in length.
Source: Rfam